GAUGAACGCUGGCGGCGUGCUUAACACAUGCAAGUCGAACGGAAAAGCUCCUCCUUGCAGGGGUGCUCCAAUGGCGAACGGGAGAGUAACACGAGGUAGAUCUGCCCUGCACUUCGGGAUAAGCCUGGGAAACUGGGUCUAAUACCGGAUCGCUCGAUGGUUUGGAUGCCAUUGUGGGAAGUUUUUCGGUGGGGGAUGAGCUCGCGGCCUAUCAGCUUGUUGGUGGGGUAAUGGCCUACCAAGGCGUCGACGGGUAGCCGGCCUGAGAGGGUGUACGGCCACAUUGGGACUGAGAUACGGCCCAGACUCCUACGGGAGGCAGCAGUGGGGAAUAUUGCACAAUGGGCGCAAGCCUGAUGCAGCGACGCCGCGUGGGGGAUGACGGCCUUCGGGUUGUAAACCCCUUUCGCUAGGGACGAAGCGCAAGUGACGGUACCUGGAGAAGAAGCACCGGCUAACUACGUG
Molecule: ribosomal RNA, 465 nt
Filed under: uncultured bacterium
Lineage: Bacteria
Description: partial 16S ribosomal RNA
Rfam family: Bacterial small subunit ribosomal RNA
Source: RNAcentral